RNAcentral lists this small RNA (106 nucleotides) under Escherichia coli. RNAcentral's name for it is "partial RtT sRNA". It matches the Rfam family "RtT RNA", at positions 1 to 102 of the family's 130-position model. Rfam says of the family: This family represents a bacterial cis-regulatory element known as RtT RNA. The exact function of RtT is unknown although it is thought that it may be involved in changing the cellular response in relation to amino acid starvation. The record is from RNAcentral. Lineage: Bacteria; Pseudomonadati; Pseudomonadota; Gammaproteobacteria; Enterobacterales; Enterobacteriaceae. RNAcentral also lists the same sequence under 1 other name.
UGCAUCUGCAGCUCAUGAGGAUGAGAACCUCCGGGGGCAGGGAGGUUCGACUCGAGCGAAGCGAGAGAACGUUGCGCCAGCAACGGCCCGCAGGGCGAGCCACGAA